AUUGAACGCUGGCGGCAGGCCUAACACAUGCAAGUCGAGCGGAGCGGCGGACGGGUGAGUAAUGCCUAGGAAUCUGCCUGGUAGUGGGGGAUAACGUCCGGAAACGGGCGCUAAUACCGCAUACUUCCAGUUGACCCUAGGUGGGAUUAGCUAGUUGGUGGGUUAAGGGCCUACAAAGGCGACGUGCCGUACUUGGUCUGAGAGGAUGAUCAGUCACACUGGAACUGAGACACGGCCCAGACUCCUACGGGAGGCAGCAGUGGGGAAUAUUGGACAAUGGGCGAAAGCCUGAUCCAGCCAUGCCGCGUGUGUGAAGAAGGUCUUCGGAUUGUAAAGCACUUUAAGUUGGGAGGCGUUACCAACAGAAUAAGCACCGGCUAACUUCGUGCCAGCAGCCGCGGUAAUAC
This 407-nucleotide ribosomal RNA is filed under the name uncultured bacterium. RNAcentral describes it as "partial 16S ribosomal RNA". It matches the Rfam family "Bacterial small subunit ribosomal RNA", at positions 30 to 526 of the family's 1533-position model. The record is from RNAcentral.